Molecule: long non-coding RNA, 510 nt
Organism: Aphidius gifuensis
Lineage: Eukaryota; Metazoa; Arthropoda; Insecta; Hymenoptera; Braconidae
Exons: 4
Source: RefSeq, a predicted model, not a curated record
UAAUUAUUAUUAUUUUAAUAAAAAAAUAUUAAUAAUUUAUAAGGAUUAUUAUAUUAUUUUUUAUUCCUUUCAAAUUUUGCUGGUGACUGCUCUUGCAGCAAUGGGAACAAUAACUGUUGGUGCUGUUGUUAAAAAUUAUUUAUCAUGGAAAACAAAGCAAAAGAAAGACACCAGUUCGCUUGGAAGAUCCAACAGCCAAGAAUCAAUUGCCUUUAAUUGAAAAAGAGAUAUUAGUUCAUAUACAAGAAGAUUUAGAUUUGGUUUACGAACACCAGAACAUGUAUCUGGUUUACCACUUGGUCAGCAUGUUCAUUUGAUAGCCACAACUAAUGAUGAAAUUGAUACGACAAGAUCAACAACAGUUAGUCCAAGUAUAAUAAUUGACAAAUGCAAAGAAGACACACUACCAUCAGUACCAAGAAAAUGCACAUGAACUUUGACAUAAUCUUCUUGAGGGUACUAAAGUUGGAUGAUGUCGUCAUUGUCGUCAUAUACCUAUAUUUAAAAGCA